Molecule: ribosomal RNA, 460 nt
Filed under: uncultured bacterium
Lineage: Bacteria
Description: partial 16S ribosomal RNA
Rfam family: Bacterial small subunit ribosomal RNA
Source: RNAcentral
CCUACGGGUGGCUGCAGUGAGGAAUAUUGGUCAAUGUGCGGGAGCCUGAACCAGCCAAGUCGCGUGAGGGAAGACGGUCCUACGUAUUGUAAACCUCUUUUGCCGGGGAGCAAAGGGGUCCUUGCGAGGGCCCGAGGAGAGUACCCGGAGAAAAAGCAUCGGUCAACUACGUGCCAGCAGCCGCGGCAAUACGGAGGAUGCGAGCUGUAUCCGGCUUUAUUGGGUUAAAAGGGUGCGUAGGCGGGCUGUUAAGUCAGCGGUCAAAUGUCGGGGCUCAACCCCGGCCUGCCGUUGAAACUGGCGGCCUCGAGGGGGUGAGAAGUAUGCGGAAGGCGUGGUGUAGCGGUGAAAUGCAUAGAUAUCACGCAGAACUCCGAUUGCGAAGGCAGCAUACCGGCGCCCGACUGACGCUGAGGCACGAAAGCGUGGGUAUCGAACAGGAUUAGAUACCCCAGUAGUC